This 524-nucleotide ribosomal RNA is filed under the name uncultured bacterium. RNAcentral's name for it is "bacterial SSU rRNA". It matches the Rfam family "Bacterial small subunit ribosomal RNA", at positions 355 to 896 of the family's 1533-position model. The record is from RNAcentral.
UGGGGAAUAUUGGACAAUGGACCAAGAGUCUGAUCCAGCAAUUCUGUGUGCACGAUGAAGUUUUUCGGAAUGUAAAGUGCUUUCAGUUGGGAAGAAAAAAAUGACGGUACCAACAGAAGAAGUGACGGCUAAAUACGUGCCAGCAGCCGCGGUAAUACGUAUGUCACGAGCGUUAUCCGGAUUUAUUGGGCAUAAAGCGCGUCUAGGUGGUUAUAUAAGUCUGAUGUGAAAAUGCAGGGCUCAACUCUGUAUUGCGUUGGAAACUGUAUAACUAGAGUACUGGAGAGGUAAGCGGAACUACAAGUGUAGAGGUGAAAUUCGUAGAUAUUUGUAGGAAUGCCGAUGGGGAAGCCAGCUUACUGGACAGAUACUGACGCUGAAGCGCGAAAGCGUGGGUAGCAAACAGGAUUAGAUACCCUGGUAGUCCACGCCGUAAACGAUGAUUACUAGGUGUUGGGGGUCAAACCUCAGCGCCCAAGCAAAUGCGAUAAGUAAUCCGCCUGGGGAGUACGUACGCAAGUAUG